UACGUAGGGGGCGAGCGUUGUCCGGAAUCAUUGGGCGUAAAGAGCGUGUAGGUGGGCCGGAAGGUCAGGUGUGAAAGCCCGGGGCUCAACCCCGGAGGGUCACUGGAAACCAACGGCCUUGAGUCCGGAAGAGGAGAGUGGAAUUCCUGGUGUAGCGGUGGAAUGCGCAGAUAUCAGGAGGAACACCGAUGGCGAAGGCAGCUCUCUGGUACGUGACUGACACUGAGACGCGAAAGCGUGGGGAGCGAACAGG
Molecule: unclassified non-coding RNA, 253 nt
Filed under: uncultured Gaiellales bacterium
Lineage: Bacteria; Bacillati; Actinomycetota; Thermoleophilia; Gaiellales
Description: contains 16S-23S intergenic spacer region
Rfam family: Bacterial small subunit ribosomal RNA
Source: RNAcentral